CCUACGGGUGGCUGCAGUGGGGAAUAUUGCACAAUGGGGGAAACCCUGAUCCAGCGACGCCGCGUGAGUGAAGAAGUAUUUCGGUACGUAAAGCUCUAUCAGCAGGGAAGAAAAUGACGGUACCUGACUACGAAGCCCCGGCUAACUACGAGCCAGCAGCCGCGGUAAUACGUAGGGGGCAAGGGUUAUCCGGAUUUACUGGGUGUAAUGGGAGCGUAGACGGCAGCGCAAGUCUGGAGUGAAAGCCCAGGGCUUAACCAUGGAACUGCUUUGGAAACUGUGCAGCUAGAGUGCAGGUGAGGUAAGCGGAAUGCCUAGUGUAGCGGUGAAAUGCGUAGAUAUUAGGAGGAACACCAGUGGCGAAGGCGGCUUACUGGACUGUAACUGACGUUGAGGCUCGAAAGCGUGGGGAGCAAACAGGAUUAGAUACCCGGGUAGUC
This 440-nucleotide ribosomal RNA is filed under the name uncultured bacterium. Its description in RNAcentral is "partial 16S ribosomal RNA". It matches the Rfam family "Bacterial small subunit ribosomal RNA", at positions 338 to 795 of the family's 1533-position model. The record is from RNAcentral.